This 292-nucleotide ribosomal RNA is filed under the name uncultured bacterium. RNAcentral's name for it is "partial 16S ribosomal RNA". The record is from RNAcentral.
GGACUACACGGGUAUCUAAUCCUGUUUGCUCCCCUAGCUUUCGCACCUCAGCGUCAGGAACGCGCCAGUCACUCGCUUUCGCCUCCGGCGUUCCUCCUGAUAUCUACGCAUUUCACCGCUUCACCAGGAGUUCCAGUGACCCCUCACGCCCUCGAGCCCGGUAUUUUCGGCCGCCGUUCCGACGGUAAGCGUCGGGAUUCCACGACCGAUUUGCCGAGCCGCCUACGUGCCCUUUACGCCCAGUGAAUCCGAACAACGUUUGCACUCUCCGUAUUACCGCGGCUGCUGGCAC